ACCCGUGAACAAUAUUAUCUGGUUGUGGUUGGUUUUCGUUUUUGUAAUUUAUUCAAAAGCGACUUGGAGUUAUUCUCUGGCGUUUCUUCGCCGACUUCCUUGGCAAUUCCGUUCUCAACAAACCGAGCCCAAGAAAUAGAGGCAGUUUUAUCGAUGACUUCUUGGUUGUCGAGCGCUCUGGGACAUAUUUCGAGUCAAGUGAGGUACAUGUGGUAAGUGGAAUUCAUUUUUAUCAAAGUUAAUGUUAGUUAAUUGUUCAUUCCCGAAAAGAGAAGCGAACACGACCAAAUCUAUGAUUUCUCUCCUUCCUCGAUAGAAGAAAGGCUUGUUCUCCUAAAAAGCCUUCGAGUCUGUGCAUUAUCGGUGGGAAAAGCAUCGGCUCUAGCUUUUCCGAUUUAUUUUAUUUUUCGUAAACUCGAUGUACAUAAGCUUGCAUUUCCACAUAACUCUUAUAUUGUACAAAUGUUUCACCAAAAAUGAUUUGCCAUGAAAACUUGGAUGCCUAAGUAAAAARUAUAGCUAUAAAGAAACGAUAUUGRUUGAUAAUUAUCGCCAGCAGUCCCUGUUCUAAUCUUUCUAACCAACUCACUAUCCUCUAGAAAACAGACGCCAUUAUAUUCGUCCACCCCAGACUCUGAAAUUAUGAUAGUCAAAAAAUGAAAGAAAAACACACACACACACAAAACAAAACAACGUGAAACCAAGAAGGUUUCUUUUCCUCUUUUACCCACGGCUAUUUCACGACAAUUGUCGUGUAUACUCCCUUUAUUCUAAAGUAAGUCUAAAUUAACGAGAGUAACUAAUAUGAAAGCUUUUCAAUUAUUGGACUAAGAAAAUUCCGGCCUGAAAGCAAUGGCCGUUAAAUUUCAAUUCUUUUCCUUGGGUCAGCCCUCAGAUCCAAGCGUUUUUUAAAUACUAUUUCUUAGGUAUUCUAGGAAAAAAAUAUUUAUUCUGAUCACUUUUAUUGCUCGCAAGCGUUGGUGCAUGUUCUUCGUUUAGACAAACAAAAGUCUCGUCUCGUUCGUCUUCCCACAGUUUGCUUAUCGAAAUGGCGGGUUUUGGAUUUUCAGUGUAUUGGAGGAUCUUGGUCCCAGAUAACCUUUGUUCAUGAAAUUUGAAUUAUUUGCUAUAAAUAUCACUUGGUCUGUG
Long non-coding RNA from Actinia tenebrosa (Australian red waratah sea anemone), 1149 nucleotides. NCBI's taxonomy places the organism in Eukaryota, Metazoa, Cnidaria, Anthozoa, Actiniaria, Actiniidae. The record is from RefSeq and is a predicted model, not a curated record.